CCAAACUUGGUCAUUUAGAGGAAGUAAAAGUCGUAACAAGGUUUCCGUAGGUGAACCUGCGGAAGGAUCAUUAUCGUGGGCUGUUCUUUUGGAACGGUUACCCGACCUGUGUCAUUUGCUGGUUGGCGAAGUGGAGACGAACGGAGCCGAGAGAUCGGGUUCGAACGUCGAAGAGACCUCGCCAACACGAUAUUUCGGCGGAAGAGGUGGUCGUCGAGCCACCCGCCGCCGGUCGUAUUCCACGCUCUUUUUUGAGAAACUGAAUCGUCUGAGAAACCGAAAAACGAAAAGCAAAACUUUCAACAACGGAUCUCUUGGCUCUGGCAUCGAUGAAGAACGCAGC
RNAcentral lists this unclassified non-coding RNA (343 nucleotides) under uncultured fungus. RNAcentral describes it as "partial contains small subunit ribosomal RNA, internal transcribed spacer 1, and 5.8S ribosomal RNA". The stretch from base 1 to 73 matches the Rfam family "Eukaryotic small subunit ribosomal RNA", at positions 1759 to 1831 of the family's 1831-position model. Lineage: Eukaryota; Fungi. The record is from RNAcentral.